GGUUGAACAACUGCAGAUUGGCAAUGAUUGUUUUGGAUAUGCUGUUGGUCUUCAGUUCAGGAAGCAAUCAGAGUCUUAAUCUAAAAGCUGAUGGAGAGGCACUCCUGUGGCAAUGUGGUACAUCCUCCAGCCAGAAGAAUGAUGUCAACUUCUGGACAAGGCUCAGGUUUGGCUGAAGAGCCCUAGUCAGCCUGAUGCUAAGAGGAGGUGAAGUGGCAUCCUGGUGGUUCCCUACUACUCAUUUUACAGCUCGUCAUCUAAUGCCUGGCCCAGGCUAUAGUAUAAAUGGACCUAUUUUGAGGCUGAUUUACUCCUCCCAAGGAUUACAAAAGGUAGUCCCAGAUUUUUUGUGGUAUGGCAUGUGUACAGUCUGGUAUUCAGCCUUCUAAUCUACUCACAGUCCAGACAGUCCAGUUGUGGCUGUUCCUGUUUGAAAUCCUGGGUGUUAAAUACACUGAUGUUGAUGUUGAUGUUAUAAAGGGCUUAUGUGCUACAUUUUUCUUGCAUAUUUAACUUUUCUUUGAUGUUUUCUUAUGAUGUUAUCAUGCCAUAAUUUAUUUUUACUUGGCCAUUUUCCAACCUUUUAUAUGCAUUAGAAUGAAACAGGCUGUUUUUGUUACUGUACCUUUAAAACGGAUAUAUAACACUCCUUUUAACUUGAUCAUAGAUGGAUGGGGCUAAACUAGUGUAGGCUUAAUAUGCAGAUGGUUUGUCAUAAAAACAAUGAAUUCAAUGGACUGGUUUUUUAGACAUUUCAUGUAGAUAUAGCUAGAGAAAGCAAAUGUAGAUAGCAUGUACUGUGAAAGCAGCAUAUAUAAAAUCAUAAGAAUGCAUGGUAAAAACAUUUACAGUAACUAUCUCUGCAAAUAUAUGCAGUAAUACUGAACAAAUAUGAAUAGUGCAGUGAUAUUAGGACAUAAAGUACAGUAACAGUGCAGAUGCUAUUAAAGUGAUGGUGUGGAGUCACAGCCUUAGGGAAGACAUUGUACCUGAGCCUGCUAGUUUGGCAGUAGAGGCUCCUGUAAUGCCUACCAAAUGGGAGGAGGAUAAAAAGUCCCUGAUUAGGAUAAGAAACGUACUUGAUGAUGUUCUUUGCCCUGCCCGGGCAGCGCAUAUGGUAAAUGUUCUCAGUGGUCGGUAAUUGAGUACCUGUAAUUCUUGGGUAGUUAUCACCACCGCUGAAGCUUUUUGCGAGUUAUAUACAAGUUCUCCGUAUUUCCAACAUCAGGCGUAAGCUCUCACCUACCGCACCACUGAUGACAUGGAAAACGACAGGCAGAUUUGCAAACUUUGAUAUGAGAACAGAUAUCUAGUGUUACGGUGCAUGUCUUGACGCACUACGAAUCAUAUUUAGGCAUUUUGAAAUGUUUGUUAUUCUGCCUCACCUCUGCGUACUCUGCGCUUGCCACUCUUUUUCACCUUGAAAUUCACUUGAGCAGUCACAAAGGCAAUCUGAGGAGACUUUACUAGAAUGAGUAUGAUCUAUGAAUACUUUUCAUUAACUGUUGGAGAUCUAGGCCAUUUUAUUACCUUUUCAGCCUAAUUAGAGUCUGACAAAUCGGAUUUACACAAAAAAAAAAUGGAAUUGGAAGUUAAUUAUUACAAUGGUAAUUAGUUUCAUGAUUAAGGAGUUAAUAAAAGAAACACAUUUUAGCUUUCUUAGAUUGACAGAGAUGAGGUUUGUGAUCUACUUGUAGAUUCCGUGCAAUGCAACAUGUGUGUCUUUUUGAAGUUUUUUCGCUACAAAUCCACAUACUGUGUUCAUUUGUCCUUCCACUCAAUUAAGGCUGAGUUAUCUCUCCAAGUGAAAAUGCAAGAUAAUGUAUUAAUUAGCAUCAUUAACACAAGCAAUUACUGGAGUGAAAACACUUGCUUUUGUAAUGAGGAAAAGGCUCGCAGUGUUCAGAUAGUGUUUGAACAUGUGGUGUUAAAAAGAGAGAAGGUUGAUAGAGAUGUAACGGGAGGAAUGCUAAAGCUGCAAGCAAGCAGCAAGCAGCUCUCACGUUCACUGAGAUUGUCAAAGUAUUUCAGGUAGGAUAUGUGUGUAGCAAAUCAUUAACCUUGGUUAGAAAUUCCAAACAUGACCAAUGAUGCCAUCAUUGCUUAGCAGAGGAGAGCUUUAAAUAAGGUGGUGAAAUGCAGAAGGACGCUCUAUACUUGUUGAAUUUUUUGUUAAUACUAUACCGUAAUACUGGGUUCUCCUCUCAACAGUGAGAUUUUCAGUGUCCACAGCUCCCAAAACAAUCCACCGGCACAGUAGCAGCAAAAGCUGGGCACACUGAACUUUCGCCGCCAAUAAAAACAAUGGAACAUCCAGUUUGCCAUUGACCAUCUACUGCCAUAAUGUAAACGCAGCAUCAGAAUCAACAUGAAACAAACUGUUCAUUUCAAGUUCUGAUACUGUUUGCUGAAUUUCAUGGACUGGGGAAAAGUAAA
Long non-coding RNA from Pygocentrus nattereri (red-bellied piranha), 2436 nucleotides. RefSeq lists it as uncharacterized. The record is from RefSeq and is a predicted model, not a curated record. The transcript has 3 exons. NCBI's taxonomy places the organism in Eukaryota, Metazoa, Chordata, Actinopteri, Characiformes, Serrasalmidae.